AUUGAACGCUGGCGGCAUGCCUUACACAUGCAAGUCGGGCGGCAGCACGGGUGCUUGCACCUGGUGGCGAGUGGCGAACGGGUGAGUAAUACAUCGGAACGUACCUUAUCGUGGGGGAUAACGCAGCGAAAGUUGCGCUAAUGCCGCAUACGCCCUGAGGGGGAAAGCGGGGGACCGUAAGGCCUCGCGCGAUUAGAGCGGCCGAUGUCUGAUUAGCUUGUUGGUGAGGUAAUAGCUCACCAAGGCGAUGAUCAGUAGCUGGUCUGAGAGGACGAUCAGCCACACUGGGACUGAGACACGGCCCAGACUCCUACGGGAGGCAGCAGUGGGGAAUUUUGGACAAUGGGGGCAACCCUGAUCCAGCAAUGCCGCGUGAGUGAAGAAGGCCUUCGGGUUGUAAAGCUCUUUUGUCAGGGAAGAAACAGCAGCUCUAACACAGUCUGCGAAUGACGGUACCUGAAGAAUAAGCACCGGCUAACUACGUGCCAGCAGCCGCAGUAA
RNAcentral lists this ribosomal RNA (501 nucleotides) under uncultured bacterium. Its description in RNAcentral is "partial 16S ribosomal RNA". It matches the Rfam family "Bacterial small subunit ribosomal RNA", at positions 30 to 523 of the family's 1533-position model. The record is from RNAcentral.